UACGAAGGGGGCUAGCGUUGCUCGAAAUCACUGGGCGUAAAGCGCACGUAGGCGGCUUUUUAAGUCAGGGGUGAAAUCCUGGAGCUCAACUCCAGAACUGCCUUUGAUACUGAGAGCUUGAGUCCGGGAGAGGUGAGUGGAACUGCGAGUGUAGAGGUGAAAUUCGUAGAUAUUCGCAAGAACACCAGUGGCGAAGGCGGCUCACUGGCCCGGUACUGACGCUGAGGUGCGAAAGCGUGGGGAGCAAACAGG
Molecule: ribosomal RNA, 252 nt
Filed under: uncultured bacterium
Lineage: Bacteria
Description: partial 16S ribosomal RNA
Rfam family: Bacterial small subunit ribosomal RNA
Source: RNAcentral